Molecule: long non-coding RNA, 6132 nt
Filed under: Brassica napus (rape)
Lineage: Eukaryota; Viridiplantae; Streptophyta; Magnoliopsida; Brassicales; Brassicaceae
Description: long non-coding RNA (BNAP_LNC002710)
Source: RNAcentral
CUUCCUAAACAUUUUUGGGACGGCAUGAACAUAGUAAAAAGGUUGAAAGACAAAUUCUUGUUAGUUAGUAGACUAACUUGUGAGGCUUUGUGUCUCUUGGGCCUGCUGGUGGGCUUCAGGAAGAACCUGAAACAAGACAUAAGAGAUAUGGAUUAGUGUAGGUUCAAUAAGGAAAUUAUUUCCUUAUAGUAUUAGGAAUAAUACAAUCCUUUUCCAUCUAGGAAAACCUACGAUCUAUUUUGUAUAAAUAGAAGUCUAGGUUCUCAUUGUUAGAUAUAGAAACAUAAAACUCUCUAAAGCAUAGAACACGCAACUAGUGCGAAGCUUGUAACGUUUUCGAUUCAUAGUGAUAUAGAGUUUGUCUCCGGUUUGGAGAGGACUCGCCCAACAUAUUGUUGUGUCGAUUUACUUGUUACAAGAAACAGCCAAGGUCGUUUCUCUACAAGUGGUAUCAGAGCCAGGUUAACAGAGAUCCUAGUUACAGAGAUUCGAAGGCAAGAUUCAAUAAACAAGCAAGGAGAAUUCUUAUCUGGUGCGGAGAAGAAGACUCAGCUCGUUGGUGAUUGAAGCUUGAAGACUACGGCGUGUUACAGCAACCUGCAAACAAAGGAAAAUAAGUUUACGGGUUAUAAGAAAGAUGGAAGCAAUUUCAAAGAAAUUUGAAGUGGAAAAAUUUGAUGGAAAAGGUGAUUUUGGUCUAUGGAAAUAUAAGAUGCUGUGUCAGUUAGAGAUCUUUGGUUUGGGGUCUGUUCUUAAGGAGAAAACUCCUUCUACGGAUGUUGAAGGUGAAGAACAGAAAGAUGAAAAACCUGAUCCUAAGGAGCAAGACCGGGAAUUGCGUACAAAGAAUCUGAUCAGUUUGUGUCUAUCUGACCUUAUUCUGCGCAAGGUUAUGCAAGAGCCUACAGCACUGGCUAUGUGGAAGGCUCUAGAAGCUGAGUAUCAGACCAAGACAUUACCAAAUCGAAUCUACAUGAAGCAGAGAUAUGCAGGUUUUAGAAUGGAAGAGCACAAGUCCAUUGAAGAAAAUAUGGAUGUGUUUCUGAAACUUGUGGCUGAUCUAGCAAGUCUGGAUAUUAAGAUCAGUGAAGAAGAUCAAGCAAUUCAGAUCUUAACCAGCUUGCCCAAGCAAUACGAGUCUCUCGUUGAUGCAUUAAAAUACGGCAGCGGCAAAGAAAUUUUAACGGUUCGUGAUGUUACUAGCUCAGCUUAUUCUAAGGAAGUAGAAUUAAGAGAGAAGGGACUCCUCAACAAGUCCAAAGGUAACUCGGAGGGGCUGUUUGCUGGCGACAACAGAGGCAGAGGGGAGAAGAAGAGCGAUAAAACUUGGAGAGCUAGAUCUAAAAGCAAUAACAGAUCAAAAUCAAGACCUAAGUUCUCUAAAGAAUGUUGGACGUGUGGCAAGGAAGGACAUUUUAAAAAGCAGUGUCCAGAAAGAAAGAAGCCAUCAAAUUCAGUCAACAUAGCAGAAGAGAAGGAGGAACCAUUGGUAUUAGUGGCUAGCCAGCAAGCUACUAAGGACGAGUGGGUACUUGAUUCUGGCUGUACAUUUCAUAUCACCCCAAAUAAAGAUGUCUUAUUUGAUCUUGAAGACAUAGAAGGAGGAAAGGUUUUGAUGGGAAAUAACACUAUCAGCGAGAUUAAAGGGAUCGGGAAAAUCAGGAUCAUGAAUGAUGAUGGAUCGAGCGUGAUUCUCACUGAUGUUCGUUACAUGCCUACAAUGGGCAGAAACCUUAUCUCCUACGGUUUAUUGGAAAAGAUGGGAUGCAGAUACGAAGGCAAAGACUUCAUGGUGCAGUUUUACAAAGGAGAUAAGAAGGUUAUUUCUGGAAAAUACUGUGAUGGUCUGUACUACUUACAAGGGACAGUAUUGGAUGGUGAAGCUGCAGUCGCAAGACCUGAUAUCGAUUUGACUAAAAGGUGGCACUCUAGGCUUGGACAUAUGAGUCUAAAGGGCAUGAAUAUUUUAGUCAAGGACGGAUAUUUAAACGAAAAGGAUGUGAAGACGUUAGAGUUUUGCGAGAAUUGCGUUCUGGGCAAAGCACACAAGCUAAGUUUUCCAAAAGGCAAGCACACGACUAAGGAAGUCCUAGAGUACAUCCAUUCAGAUUUAUGGGGUUCACCUUCGGUGGUAGAGAGUCUCGGAGGAUGUUUCUAUUUUGUUACAUUCAUUGAUGAUUUUUCUAGGAAAGUUUGGAUCUAUUUCCUAAAAUCAAAAAAUGAAGUGUUUCAAAACUUCAAGGAAUGGAAAACAUGCGUGGAGACUGAGACAGGAAAGAAGGUGAAGUGUCUUAGGACAGAUAACGGAUUAGAGUUCUGCAAUACACAGAUGGACACAUUGUGUAAGGAAGCAGGGAUUAAAAGACACAGAACAUGCGUCUAUACUCCACAGCAAAACGGAGUAUCAGAACGCAUGAACCGUACUAUUAUGGAGAAGGUAAGAUGUAUGUUGACAGAGGCAGGCUUAGAGCAAAAGUUCUGGGCGGAAGCGGCUUCUACAGCUGUCUACUUAAUCAACCGAUCUCCUAGUACAGCUAUUAACUUCAAACUACCGGCAGAGGUUUGGUCUGGAACCAAAACAGACUUAAAUCAUCUAAGGAAAUUCGGAUGUACAGCUUAUGUUCACGUGACUCAAGCCAAAACCAGUCCAAGAGCGAUGAAAGGAGUUUUUAUGGGAUAUCCAGACGGGACUAAAGGUUAUCGAGUUUGGUUACCAGAAGAACUAAGAUGUACAGUAAGCAGAAACGUGAUUUUCAAUGAGGAAGAGAUGUUUAAAGACAUUAAAGGAAUCAGCGAGAAGAAGAGGAAAACGAAAAAGGUAACGUUCAAUCCUGUGCUGAUUCAAGGACCAUCAAACACAACUACAGACACUGAAACAGAGGAUACAGUUCAAGGUGGAGUUUCUCCAGCAUCAGAAAACUCGGAACCUGAAUCCGCAAGCUCAGAAAGUGAAGAAGAAGUUGUGGGAGCUCAACAGGAAAAUCUAGACAACUACAUUCUUGCUAGAGAUAGAAUCAGGAGGGAAGUAAAGAAACCUUCUAGGUUUGAUGAUUCAGAUUGCGUGGCUUAUGCUCUAGCUACAGCAGAAGAAAUAAAUAAGGAUGAGCCUAAAUCCUAUUUGGAAGCAAGAAGAAGUAAGAGCUGGAAGUUAUGGAACGAGGGAAUGCAAGAAGAGAUGGAUUCAUUGGAGAAAAAUCAGACUUGGAAGCUGGUUGAGAAACCAGAGAAAAAGAAGAUUAUUGGCAGCAAGUGGGUUUUCAAGCUGAAAGAAGGCAUUCCUGGAAUUGAGAAGCCGAGAUACAAAGCUAGAUUAGUAGCUAAAGGGUUUUCACAAGUUGAAGGGAUCGACUACACAGAGGUGUUUGCACCAGUGGUGAAACACGUGUCGAUUAGAAUUAUGUUGUCACUUGUUGCAAAUUAUGAUCUAGAUUUGGAACAACUAGACGUGAAAACGGCUUUCCUGUACGGAACGUUAGACGAGGAGAUUUAUAUGGCACAGCCAGAAGGUUUCGUUGAGGAGGGAAAAGAAGAUCAAGUUUGUCUCCUGUUGAAAUCCCUUUACGGAUUAAAACAGUCACCAAGACAGUGGAAUAGGAGAUUUGAUAGUUUCAUGAAGCAACAAGGCUUCGAAAGAAGUGCAUAUGAUCCUUGUGUCUACAUGAAAGGUUCAGAUUUAUCUCAUAUGGUUUAUCUCUUGAUCUAUGUUGAUGACAUGCUCAUAGCAUCUAAGGAUUCUAAAGAAAUUAAAAGAAUCAAAGAUAGCUUGAAGAGAGAGUUUGAGAUGAAGGACCUUGGAGCAGCUUCAAGAAUACUUGGAAUGGAUAUUAUUAGAGACAGGAAGAAAGGAACUCUAAAACUAUCGCAAGGGAAGUAUCUACAGAAGGUGCUGGAAACUUUUAACAUGGCAGAGAGCAAAGCUGUGGUUACUCCUAUCGGACCACAAUUUAAGCUUAAAAGUUUGACACAAAAGGAAGAGCACGAGGAAGCAAGGUUCAUGAACGUGAUUCCAUACGCAUCAGCCGUUGGAAGUUUAAUGUAUGCAAUGGUGGGAUCUAGACCAGACUUAUGUUUCGCAGUAGGCUUAAUCAGCCGUUAUAUGAGCAAGCCAGGAAGAAUACACUGGGAAGCUGUUAAGUGGGUGAUGAGAUAUCUUAAAGGAGCUCUAGAUUCGGAUCUAUUGUUUACUAAAGGAGAAGAUUUCAAAGUACAAGGAUUCUGUGACGCAGACUACGCAACCGAUUUGGACAGAAGAAGAUCCGUGACAGGAUAUGUGUUUCAAGUCGGAGGCAACACAAUAAGCUGGAGAUCAGGUCUCCAACAUAUUGUCGCACUAUCAACGACAGAAUCAGAAUACAUGGCAUUAGCCGAAGCUUUUAAAGAAGCAUUAUGGCUUAAGGGGUUUGUUAGUGAAUUGGGAUUCAAGCAAGAUGAUGUGAGAGUGUUUUCAGAUUCACAGAGUGCUAUACACUUAGCUAAGAAUGGAGGAUUCCAUGAAAGGACUAAGCAUAUAGAUACUAGACUACACUUUAUGAGAGACGUAAUUGAGGCUGGCGAUGUUACGGUUCACAAGAUUCACACAUCUAUCAACCCUGCAGAUUUUCUAACUAAGUGUGUACCUGGACAGAAGUUCGAGACAUGCUUGGAGAUCCUCAAGGUUCUGCCUUAGAAGGUCUCGUGUGGCUGCAGAUGACAAUGCUGUCGAGUUGAUCACCUCGCGGAAAGGCCACAAAAGAAAGUAUCAGUUUCAGGAAAAGCAAACUGAUGGUUCGACAGGGAGUUACAAAGCUUGAAAAAAAAAAAAAAAAAAUUUGAGUGAAGGAGAUUACUUUUUUGAAGAAUGGUUAUAGACAGGAGUUGUCUAUGCAAGGAACCUGCAAAAUUAUUCAUACUAGUCAAAGAAUUUCUAUGCAGGGGCCAUAAGCUUCAAUAGAAGCUGGGAAAUCAUUUAAAAAGGAAGAAGCCAAUGUUAUACCUGAAGGAGAAUGUGUUGGUAGCAAAGAAUCGUCUACAAACAUGGCUGGAGAUUAAUAACAAAGGAAAAUUAUUAUUUUUCCAGUCACAGGCUCUUAUAAACAGCACUGAAUAUAUCAACUAGUGUACGUUGAUAGGAAAGUUCAGAUCAUUACCAAAGGAAGCUAAGUUGGUGAAGAGACGUCUACAUCAAGUGAGCUGUAAAAGUCAACAAUAUAAAGCUUUAGUAACAAAAGCUCAACAAGUUGGAAAGAGGUAACUGAACAAGAGAUAAAUCAAGACACGUAUUCAGGAAGGAAUAAAAGUCAAAACCAAAGAAAGUACCUUUUAUUUUGACAAGUAUUGGUUUCGGUCUCGUGGGUGUCGUGAGAUGAGAUCGAGAGAGUUUGUCACGGAGACACAACGGAUUCAUCAAAGCUCAAGCUGGAAAACAGAAUUGAAAUCAAAGGUUAGAGCUUUACUCAAAAUAUCUGAAGAAAGAGAUAAAGGAGGAGCAAAGGUAACCUGAGAUAUCAAUGGCGGAAGCGGUAGAAGCCAACGCCGGUGAAGACAAGCGGCGGUGAAGUCAGGAUCUUGUCUGGUUCACGGAGAAUCGAAGAGAGGAAGUGUUCGGAGAAAAGAAGAGAAGCAAGGAUCGGAAAGGGCAUGCAACUCCGGUGAAGCGGCGUCGAGGAACAAACGAAGCUUGAAGAAGACGAGGCGGCGAGCUCGUCGGUGCUUCAGUUUUUCAUUUUCGCAGAGAGAGAGAGAUGGAGAAGCGGAGAAGUCGAGGAGUGACUCAAGAGCCAAGGUGGAGAAUGUGAGGCUUUGUGUCUCUUGGGCCUGCUGGUGGGCUUCAGGAAGAACCUGAAACAAGACAUAAGAGAUAUGGAUUAGUGUAGGUUCAAUAAGGAAAUUAUUUCCUUAUAGUAUUAGGAAUAAUACAAUCCUUUUCCAUCUAGGAAAACCUACGAUCUAUUUUGUAUAAAUAGAAGUCUAGGUUCUCAUUGUUAGAUAUAGAAACAUAAAACUCUCUAAAGCAUAGAACACGCAACUAGUGCGAAGCUUGUAACGUUUUCGAUUCAUAGUGAUAUAGAGUUUGUCUCCGGUUUGGAGAGGACUCGCCCAACAUAUUGUUGUGUCGAUUUACUUGUUACAAGAAACAGCCAAGGUCGUUUCUCU